UUAAUUAAAUAGGCUGCCGUAGACAGUAGGUACCUAAGGGUUUAAUUUCCUACCGAGGUUGAGAUUAAUCUAAUUCAUAAAAUAGAAAUUAGGGUCUCUCUGUGUCUACGGAGGGACCUUUAUUUAUU
Molecule: small RNA, 128 nt
Filed under: uncultured Tissierella sp.
Lineage: Bacteria; Bacillati; Bacillota; Tissierellia; Tissierellales; Tissierellaceae
Description: Ribosomal protein L10 leader
Rfam family: Ribosomal protein L10 leader
About the family: This family is a putative r-protein leader autoregulatory structure found in B. subtilis and other low-GC Gram-positive bacteria. It is located in the 5' untranslated regions of mRNAs encoding ribosomal proteins L10 and L12 (rplJ-rplL).
Source: RNAcentral